UCGUAACAAGGUUUCCGUAGGUGAACCUGCGGAAGGAUCAUUACCGAGUGAGGGCCCUCUGGGUCCAACCUCCCACCCGUGUUUAUUUUUCCUUGUUGCUUCGGCGGGCCCGCCUUAACUGGCCGCCGGGGGGCUCACGCUCCCGGGCCCGCGCCCGCCGAAGACACCCUCGAACUCUGUCUGAAGAUUGUAGUCUGAGUGAAAAUAUAAAUUAUUUAAAACUUUCAACAACGGAUCUCUUGGUUCCGGCAUCGAUGAAGAACGCAGCGAAAUGCGAUACGUAAUGUGAAUUGCAAAUUCAGUGAAUCAUCGAGUCUUUGAACGCACAUUGCGCCCCCUGGUAUUCCGGGGGGCAUGCCUGUCCGAGCGUCAUUGCUGCCCUCAAGCACGGCUUGUGUGUUGGGCCCCGUCCUCCGAUCCCGGGGGACGGGCCCGAAAGGCAGCGGCGGCACCGCGUCCGGUCCUCGAGCGUAUGGGGCUUUGUCACCCGCUCUGUAGGCCCGGCCGGCGCUUGCCGAUCAACCCAAAUUUUUAUCCAGGUUGACCUCGGAUCAGGUAGGGAUACCCGCUGAACUUAAGCAUAUCAAUAA
RNAcentral lists this unclassified non-coding RNA (590 nucleotides) under Penicillium lanosocoeruleum. Its description in RNAcentral is "sequence contains 18S rRNA gene, ITS1, 5.8S rRNA gene, ITS2, 28S rRNA gene". The stretch from base 220 to 372 matches the Rfam family "5.8S ribosomal RNA". Lineage: Eukaryota; Fungi; Ascomycota; Eurotiomycetes; Eurotiales; Aspergillaceae. The record is from RNAcentral.